GAUGAACGCUGACAGAAUGCUUAACACAUGCAAGUCUUUGGCGAAGCUGUGCUUGCACAGCCUAGCCAAGGCGGACGGGUGAGUAACGCGUAAGGAACUUGCCCUCAAUUCAGGGAUAACAGCGGGAAACGACGGAUAAGCCCGGUAAAGUCAAGCGGAACUAAUUUCAAGCCGGAUGAAAAGAGAUGCUGCAGGAGAGCCUUGCGUCCUAUUAGCUUGUUGGUGGGGUAACGGCCCACCAAGGCGAUGAUAGGUAGCCGGCCUGAGAGGGUGGACGGCCACAAGGGGACUGAGAUACGGCCCUUACUCCUACGGGAGGCAGCAGUGGGGAAUAUUGGACAAUGGGGGCAACCCUGAUCCAGCAAUUCUGUGUGCACGAUGAAGGUUUUCGGAUUGUAAAGUGCUUUCAGCAGGGAAGAAAAAAAUGACGGUACCUGCAGAAGAAGCGACGGCUAAAUACGUG
Molecule: ribosomal RNA, 463 nt
Filed under: uncultured bacterium
Lineage: Bacteria
Description: partial 16S ribosomal RNA
Rfam family: Bacterial small subunit ribosomal RNA
Source: RNAcentral